AUGCAUCUCUGAUAGGUCUGGAGCAAUUAGUAUCUGCUAAGGUUUCCACUACAGAUGCAAGAAAAAAAAAAGCCCUCAUGUUUUCUAUCUGGUUGUGGUAGCCAAGGUCAAAUGGGGGAAUACAGGA
Molecule: small nucleolar RNA, 127 nt
Filed under: Dasypus novemcinctus (nine-banded armadillo)
Lineage: Eukaryota; Metazoa; Chordata; Mammalia; Cingulata; Dasypodidae
Description: Small nucleolar RNA SNORA31 (ENSDNOG00000029986.1)
Source: RNAcentral